ACUGAAGAAGGCUGAUGGUGAGAAAGUGUCCAAAUUCACGUGUACUCUGAUAUUUAUUAAACUAAAGAGCUCAUUCAUGCUCAGCACUAGAUCAGUGAGGGAGCAGGGAUCCAUUCAUAGCCAUGUGUCGCUAUAACACAGGGGGCCAAGGAAAAUCACACUAGUGGGGCUGUACUAGAAGGGCUGGAGUGUUUCUUUAGCAUAACCAUUUCACCACUGAACACAAUCUACAACCUCUGUUAAUCAUUCACAGCAGGAGCGACCUUUCAGACUACAAACCUAAUGUUUGAAGACAACUCAUACGCACCUUUGACAGUCAGCUGUACUUUGUUUUCGGCGUUGACGUUAAGAAGGAAGCAGGUGAUGUGGCCUGCUCAUCAAAAUUCACGCUGCUGUCCGUGAUGUCGUACACAGUGAUGGUGUCUCCAAAUCUCCAGAACACACUGACUUUACCCAGCAGGGCCUCAUGACUGUUUGAACACGGCUACUAAGGAGGAGCCUUCAUAGGACAGUCCUACCGAGGACCUGCACCACCUCAGCUACAGCCAAGGCUCUGGAACGCAGCUCUUGAGUAAGAAGUUCAUGUGACUGGAUGUGGCCUGCUCAUCAAAAUUCACGCUGCUGUCCGUGAUGUCGUACAUAGUGAUGUUGUCUCCAAAUCUCCAGAACACACUGACUUUACCCAGCAGGGCCUCAUGACUGUUUGAACACGGCUACUAAGGAGGAGCCUUCAUAGGACAGUCCUACCGAGGACCUGCACCACCUCAGCUACAGCCAAGGCUCUGGAACGCAGCUCUUGAGUAAGAAGUUCAUGUGACUGGAUGUGGCCUGCUCAUCAAAAUUCACGCUGCUGUCCAUGAUGUCGUACACAGUGAUGGUGUCUCCAAAUCUCCAGAACACACUGACUUUACCCAGCAGGGCCUCAUGACUGUUUGAACACGGUAAGAUGACGGUGUCUCCUACAACGGCUUGAACAUCCUGCAAGGACACUGAGAGAGAGAGUGAGAGAGAGAGAGAGAGAGAGACCAAAACAGACAACCAUAAAACUAAACGCUGCAGGCUGCCUAUUUUGGGUAACGGACCACUGUCAGUGACACCACUGUAUGAUAUACUUGUACGGGCACCAGAGAACAUGCCCUGACCACCCAGAUGGUAGGUGGUUACCAGCUGUGUCCUGCUGGUGUAUCGCGUGUUUGGCAGCAGUUUUUAUUGGGGACUUUUAUUGACAUUGUUCACAUCUGAACAACUUAAUAAUGCGAAAUGUUUGUAUUUUAAUGAGUGAGAUUAUUGUUGUGUUUUUUUAUAUAGUAUAUUAUAGAAUUUGUGUUGCACAGUGUAGAAUUCGACUUAAGCUAAGUGGCUCUGUAUCUGCUAUAUGGUGCUAUAUGUAGUAUGAAAUAAAGAUGUCACUCUAUAAUAAACAUCAAAACAUGCA
Long non-coding RNA from Pygocentrus nattereri (red-bellied piranha), 1435 nucleotides. RefSeq lists it as uncharacterized. The transcript is spliced from 7 exons. Lineage: Eukaryota; Metazoa; Chordata; Actinopteri; Characiformes; Serrasalmidae. The record is from RefSeq and is a predicted model, not a curated record.